GUGAAAAUAUAAAUUAUUUAAAACUUUCAACAACGGACCUCUUGGUUCCGGCAUCGAUGAAGAACGCAGCGAAAUGCGAUACGUAAUGUGAAUUGCAAAUUCAGUGAAUCAUCGAGUCUUUGAACGCACAUUGCGCCCCCUGGUAUUCCGGGGGGCA
This 157-nucleotide ribosomal RNA is filed under the name uncultured Penicillium. RNAcentral describes it as "5.8S ribosomal RNA". The stretch from base 22 to 157 matches the Rfam family "5.8S ribosomal RNA", at positions 1 to 137 of the family's 154-position model. Rfam says of the family: 5.8S ribosomal RNA (5.8S rRNA) is a component of the large subunit of the eukaryotic ribosome. It is transcribed by RNA polymerase I as part of the 45S precursor that also contains 18S and 28S rRNA. Lineage: Eukaryota; Fungi; Ascomycota; Eurotiomycetes; Eurotiales; Aspergillaceae. The record is from RNAcentral.